RNAcentral lists this ribosomal RNA (253 nucleotides) under uncultured bacterium. RNAcentral describes it as "partial 16S ribosomal RNA". It matches the Rfam family "Bacterial small subunit ribosomal RNA", at positions 524 to 776 of the family's 1533-position model. The record is from RNAcentral.
UACGUAGGGUGCAAGCGUUAAUCGGAAUUACUGGGCGUAAAGCGUGCGCAGGCGGUUGUGCAAGACAGGUGUGAAAUCCCCGGGCUUAACCUGGGAACUGCACUUGUGACUGCACAGCUGGAGUACGGCAGAGGGGGAUGGAAUUCCGCGUGUAGCAGUGAAAUGCGUAGAUAUCGAGAGGAACACCUGCGGCGAAGGCGGGUUGCUGGGCCGACACUGACGCUGAUGCGCGAAAGCCAGGGGAGCGAACGGG